UACAGAGGGUGCGAGCGUUAAUCGGAAUUACUGGGCGUAAAGCGCGCGUAGGCGGCUUUGCAAGUCGGGUGUGAAAUCCCCAGGCUUAACCUGGGAACUGCAUUCGAGACUGCAUUGCUAGAGUAUGGGAGAGGGAAGUGGAAUUUCCGGUGUAGCGGUGAAAUGCGUAGAUAUCGGAAGGAACAUCAGUGGCGAAAGCGACUUCCUGGACCAAUACUGACGCUCAUGUGCAAAAGCGUGGGGAGCAAACAGG
This 253-nucleotide ribosomal RNA is filed under the name uncultured bacterium. RNAcentral's name for it is "partial 16S ribosomal RNA". It matches the Rfam family "Bacterial small subunit ribosomal RNA", at positions 524 to 776 of the family's 1533-position model. The record is from RNAcentral.